ACCCAAGUUACAAUUCCUCCGCCAUUGCAAGCAUUUGAAGGGAAAUAUACGAAAGCGAAAGGGCAGAAGAGAAAUGAAGAAGAAGAAGAAGAAAGAAAGAAAGAAGGUUUCCAGCACAUUUGAACAGAACUUGCACAGUUCGCAAGUUCCUCUGUUUCAGAAACCAAAUCACGUGGAGCUCCAUUGAAGAAGACCUUGUUUCAUUCAUUAGUGAUGGUGAUUAGACAUGGGUUUUAAAGACCAUAAUUUGAGAAACACCCAGAUCGAGCCAUGAAAGAAACUAUUCAAGAUCACGAGCUGGGAAAGGGAUGGCAUUGCAAGCACGUAGCUACAGCGCAGUCGCUCUAGGGAGGAUCAAUCAAUUCAAUGCUCGUUUCUCAACGAAUUAUCUGUUUGUUUAUCGAACAAGUAACGAUUUGAAUUCAAACAUCCUAGCAUAAGUAAGCAACAUGCUCAUCUUUGUGAAUAGUUCAAACAGCCCCAUCCAUUUCCAUAAGCCUUAUUAUAAUUGAGUUCAACCAUAUUGGUAGCCCUUGAAUGUUUAGCUUUAAAUCUCACUUUCCAUCAAAACUAAAAUAAUCUCACUUUGAAUUUUUUAAAGAGAUGAUGAGCUUUAUUGAUACCCAAAUUUGGUAUAUGGUAUUAAGAGUAAUUUACCAAAAACAAGAAGUAACUAGCUUUGGUAGUGUUAAGUGUUAUCUAUAGUCGUGUGUCGGAUGUCCCAAUCAUGUUUGUCCAAGACGUGUUGUUCAUGUCCGCAUGCCCAUUCCAAACCCAUUCUACCUACUUUUAUGUGUAGUUAGGUCAUUAUUAUUUUUGUCAUGUCUAUAUAUAGGAGUGUAAGAUCGUUCACCGAAAUCAUGUCUACACCUGUUAGGCUAAAAUGCUCCAAAUUGUACUAUAAAUAUGAUGUGACUAGUUGUCAAUUUUUCUUACUUGGGUAAUAUGCUAUCAAAGCUAUCAAAGCUAUGGUUGUUGCUCAUUCGUUUUUAGCCUAUAACAUUGCUUUCUUUCAAAUUGUUUUCAACACAUUUCCUCGUUCACAUUUUAUAAAAUAUUUUCUAUCAAAUGUGACUCGAGACUUGAUUAUACGUCAAGAUUGACCGCAAAGAUAGAUUUUCACACAGUUGACUUAUUCUUCUAGUUAAAACAAGUAUCACACAAUCACUACCGCAAGAGUGAUAUAGUGACACUAAGCUACCUACAUUUUCACGCUAAAGUUAGAACUAGGAAUCGAGCUUAAGAAGUGUAAAGUAUGUGUUGGCAGAAUACCUUGGAAUAUCAUCACAAUUUGUAUUUUCUACUCUGUUUUGACACUCAUUGAGAAUUUCACUGGGUUCUUGGAUCUUUAUAAUCAUUCCCCUUUGAUCAGCUCAAUGAGUCCUUGAAUGCCAACACUUGAUUUUCUUUUCUCAUCCUAAAGGUUGGUUUUGUUUCAAGUUUUGUCAAGUGCCUGCUGAUUUGCUGAUUAACUCUAUGAGGUAUUAGUUGAAUUAGACCUGCCCAAUUAAGCCAAAUUAGUCUAAGUCGACCCCUCAAAGAGUCAUUCAAGCCAACUUAGUUCAACUCGUUAAAGGUCACCCUUCCAACCUAGGCUUAAAGGAUCAACCUUCUAAGCUUUUCGGCUGAACCUUGAAGGUGGCCCACUUCGUGAGGAAUAUGUCAAAUGGGUUCGACUUGGUUUGUUAGGUUGACAUUUCUAGAAUUCAACUAGUUUGCGCUCCACAUAACUUACGAUAAUCCUACUCUUCUUAAGCUAUAUUUAUUCAAACUUAGCCCAUUUAACGUAAAAAAA
Non-coding RNA from Cucurbita pepo subsp. pepo (vegetable marrow), 1795 nucleotides. The record is from RefSeq and is a predicted model, not a curated record. Lineage: Eukaryota; Viridiplantae; Streptophyta; Magnoliopsida; Cucurbitales; Cucurbitaceae.